GCUGGGCGUGGUGGUGCACGCCUGUAAUCCUAGCUACUCGGGAGGCUGAGGUAGGAGAAUCACUUGAACCUGGGAGGCGGAGGUUGCAGUGAGCCGAGAUUGCGCCGCUGCACUCCAGCCUGGGCAACAGAGUGAGACCCUGUCUCAA
This 148-nucleotide non-coding RNA is filed under the name Gorilla gorilla gorilla (western lowland gorilla). Lineage: Eukaryota; Metazoa; Chordata; Mammalia; Primates; Hominidae. The record is from Rfam by way of RNAcentral.